Molecule: long non-coding RNA, 162 nt
Organism: Strigops habroptila (Kakapo)
Lineage: Eukaryota; Metazoa; Chordata; Aves; Psittaciformes; Psittacidae
Exons: 2
Source: RefSeq, a predicted model, not a curated record
UAAAGCCAGCAACUCAAAACUGUUGGCUGCUCACUGCAAAGACUUCUGGAAUGCAAAGAUUGUUCAUUGCAACAAGACUUCCAGGCACAUGAGCACAGCACCAUCCUGCAGCCUGAAGUGGCUCCAUCUCUGGACCCCCAGGCCUCCAGAGAGUUGUCAGAC